CUUCGUUGGUAAAUUUUAAUUGAAGGUGUGUUUUUAUGAUAAUUGGACUCUAAUGACGAAGUAACGGAUAGUGUGACAUUUCAUUACAGUUAUGAGCUUAUUAUGCAUUGAUGAGGGACGCAAUCGCGUUUAUGAUUUUUCAACAACAUGAUCUCAGUUUAACCAGCAAAAAUUAACAUCCAAGUUGAAGACAAGCAAGCAGACUUCAGCCACUACCAAAAAGACUUGUCAUGUUCCAGAACCCACUUUAUCAACAAGAAGCAGUGGACGUAAAAGAUGCAUGAAAUUUGUUGGAAGAAAGAUUUCACAUGCGUGGUGUCCAGCUGAAGGGUCACAGAUAAGCCGAUGGUACACUGGAAUGGUUUUAGAUUGUAUCAAGGGAAAAGAUGGUGACAGGACAGCUGUUUAUGAAGUUGCAUAUGAGGGGGAGGCAGCUUCCAGCACACUAUCAAAUUUGCAGCAAGACUUGGACAAAGGUUCCCUGAAGUUUAUAGAUAUUUAGUCAGCCAGCCACAUAUCCAGUCAGCCAGCCACAUAUCCAGUCAGUGAGCCACCUCUCCAGUAGUGUACACAGCCACCAGUGCAGUGAGCCACCUCUCCAGUAGUGUACACAGCCACCAGUGCAGUGAGCCACCUCUCCAGUAGUGUACACAGCCACCAGUGCAGUGAGCCACCUCUCCAGUAGUGUACACAGCCACCAGUGCAGUGAGCCACCUCUCCAGUAGUGUACACAGCCACCACUGCAGUGAGCCACCUCUCCAGUAGUGUACACAGCCACCAGUGCAUCAAAUGUAGACAGUGAGUCCGGCAUUAAGUCAGUCAUCAAUCGAUCAGUCCAGUAGCCUACCAGUCAAAUCUGCUAUCAACUAAUCAAAUGUACACAUGGACUUGGCCAUCAGUAAGCCACUAGUCACCAGUCCAGUUACUAGUCACCAGUCCAGUUACCAGUCAUCAGUCCAGUUACCAGUCAUCAGUCCAGUAACUAG
Molecule: long non-coding RNA, 986 nt
Organism: Pecten maximus
Lineage: Eukaryota; Metazoa; Mollusca; Bivalvia; Pectinida; Pectinidae
Exons: 7
Source: RefSeq, a predicted model, not a curated record